GAAUGAGCUAGAGUUCACUCUUCCUCUCUCAAACUCUCCAUCGCUCUCAUUCUGUACCAAACCCCUCUCCUUUUUCAGAACAACAACACCUAAACCGUACAGAAGCAUCACGAAAUAACGCCGGUGAUGGAUUUUCAAACAAUGACAAACAAAUAAUGGUAAACAAUCGAACGCAUCAUGCAUAAAGAGAAAGUGAUAACCUGUGAACCCGCGGACGCGACGUCGACUUGAUCGAUUUGGCCUUCCUCUGAACUGCCUUCGCCUCCUUUUCUUCGUAGCGGUGGCUUCAGAUAGGGUUUCGAAUUUGGUCUAUGGAGAUCAAAAGGGGUUUCUGCCAAAAACACUUUUUGUGCUCAGUAUUGGAUUGGUCCCUUUGAUGUUUGAAUUUGGAACAGUAAAAAUAUUGAAGAUUCAAAAGCAGUUUCGAUUUUGAUCACAGCUCUGGUUCACAGUUUCGGUUACGGUGAAUGAAAAUGUUCCGUCGGAGAUCUCCGAAAUUGAGUGCAUUGACGAGGCAUCAUGGUCUGCGCCAAAUCCAAAAGCAUGCACGGGAAUUUGAAAUCCCCAAUUAUCUCGACCACUGAUGGAAAUCGGCAGAAGCAAAUGAUAGUUUGGUUGAGGUUGGUCAUUUCCCGAGCUGCCAACAGUGUAAUUAUCUUGCCCAUCCGACAACAGAAUAAUAUUCGCAACUGGAUUCUUUUCUUUUCGGUCUUCCAUUAUCUUGGCACCUUUUCUCAGCCCUUCCGCAAUAUUGGUACCACCAUUUGCAACCAAAGAAUUAACAGCUUGUAAUGCCUGUUGCCGUCCAGAAUUAGUCAUCUUACAUAGUGGAAGGAGACGGCGAGCCGUGGAAGAGAAAACAAUAACAGAAAUCCCAUAGCCCUUUUUAGUAGUGCGAGCUUAGUUCCAGCCGGGCUACCACUGAUGUCAAGCACAGUGACCAAGUCAAAUAGGGCACGCGGAGUCUGCGAGGUCCGCGUCAAGCUGGUUUGAUUUCUGCUAAGAUUUUGUCUUCUGGUAGAAGCAGCGGCUGCAGCAGUAGCUUUGAGAUGAACCAAAACUGUGAAGUUAGCACAAGUGUCGGACCUUGGAACGGAAGACACUUCAGGAAAUUGCAUUGUUGGUGAUGAUGGAGCUGGAAGCAUUCCAACAGAACUUUGCGGAAGACCGGCAGUCCUUGUUGGAGUCACUCAGAAGCUGAUUGCAGGUUGACUCAAGGAAUAGCAUCUCAAAAACUGUUGUCUGCCGCAACCACACGCUCAUACAUGGCUUCCGGUGCUCUGUUGGAGUUGAGUCUCCUGCAAAUGCAGUUCUUUCUCUCUAGUUGUAACAGGUUUGUCAAGUUUGGAAUUCUGCACAAAAUUGCAUUGGCCGCCGGUUGAUUUUAAUAACAGGUGCUUGGCUUGUAUUUUGAUGAGGCUGAAGCACAAUAGUCAGUUUAAGAAUUUAAUCGUCUUGAAAUGACUCCGGUGGGUCUUAGCAUGACGGUAACCGUACAUAUAUAAUCCUGUACUUCCAAACUCCUUUGCUUUGUCAAUGAGACCAGCUCUUCCAAAGAGAUGGUCCAUACAAGAAUAGUGCUUAAUCCUUGAAUUUAUUUGCGUAGACUUCUAUCAUUUGUCUAAAUAGCAAUUGCCCUUGUGUUACAAGACCGGAAUGAAUACAAGCUGUUUGAGGUAUGUGAAAUGACCGGAUUGCAGAUUGGUUCAGGUUGGAGAGGCUAUUGGUUGAAUUGAAACUGAAUUCUGUUAGAAACUCAGUUGGAAAAAACCGGUUAUCAAUUAUUGAAUAUUGGAUCAAUAUUGAAGGUUGAUUGUAAGGUCAUUAUGAGUGCUUUGGAGAUUAAAAAAAAAUCUGUUAUAGUGAAGAAGUCAUUUUGCUUUUAUUCCUGUUGUGGAAUUUUUUUUAUAUUUCCUUUUAAUUCCAACCAAUUAUUGUAAUGUAUUAGUCAUUAGGAUGUAAUAAGUUGUAAUAGUAUUUAGCUUAUGUAAAAUGAUUCACACAAUGCCAAAUCUCAUGUAAUGCAAUGCAUAUGGACAUGUUUAUGGGAUCAUGCUUGGUUAUUAUUUUUUUGA
Lathyrus oleraceus (garden pea) is the source of this 2075-nucleotide long non-coding RNA. RefSeq lists it as uncharacterized. The transcript has 8 exons. NCBI's taxonomy places the organism in Eukaryota, Viridiplantae, Streptophyta, Magnoliopsida, Fabales, Fabaceae. The record is from RefSeq and is a predicted model, not a curated record.